RNAcentral lists this ribosomal RNA (373 nucleotides) under uncultured organism. RNAcentral's name for it is "partial 16S ribosomal RNA". It matches the Rfam family "Bacterial small subunit ribosomal RNA", at positions 527 to 896 of the family's 1533-position model. The record is from RNAcentral.
GUAGGUGGCAAGCGUUGUCCGGAAUUAUUGGGCGUAAAGCGCGCGCAGGCGGUCCUUUAAGUCUGAUGUGAAAGCCCACGGCUCAACCGUGGAGGGUCAUUGGAAACUGGGGGACUUGAGUACAGAAGAGGAAAGCGGAAUUCCAAGUGUAGCGGUGAAAUGCGUAGAGAUUUGGAGGAACACCAGUGGUGAAGGCGGCUUUCUGGUCUGUAACUGACGCUGAGGCGCGAAAGCGUGGGGAGCAAACAGGAUUAGAUACCCUGGUAGUCCACGCCGUAAACGAUGAGUGCUAAGUGUUAGGGGGUUUCCCGCCCCCUUAGUGCUGCAGCUAACGCAUUAAGCACUCCGCCUGGGGAGUACGGCCGCAAGGCUG